GUUGAAUUUCUCGGGUUUUCAGUGAUUCUCGCUCUGCUGUUGUCAUGUCCGACACUAUGCUCGGCUGGACUAGAAGUUGGAUUUUCCCCUCUCAUAACAAGAACUCUGAUGAUAGGUACAAUUUCAUAUCUGACAUUCUGAUGACCUGGAACAUGCUUCCUGAAUUCUGAAUUGAUUGACACUCCAAUAUUCAUGCUCAACUCAAAUAUCACUUCCUCUUGGAAGCCCUCUGGGACUGUGCCAUGCACAAUUUGCCCACCUCCAUUGUUCACUACAUCCCAUUGCAUUUGCCUUUUCAGAGUGCCCUUUCCAAUCGAAAACACACUCUCUCUCUCUCUCUCUCUCUCUCUCUCUCUCUCUCUCUCUCUCCUCUCUCCUCUCUCCUCUCUCCUCUCUCCCUCCCUCUCUCCCUCCCUCUCUCCCUCCCUCCCUCCCUCCCUCUCUCCCUCUCCCUCUCUCUCCGUUUCCCCCCUCCUGCCUUAGCUCUGUUUGCCAUACUGACUGGACUGUACUCUAGGACUGACCACCUGAAUGCCAGUGUCUGUCUUUGUGCAUUUAACUGGAUUCCUAAAGAGGCAAAGAGUUUGGGAGAGAGGCAGAUAUCACUGGAAAGGUGCAUGGAGGGGCUGGUUUUAGGGGCUGGUUCAGUCAGUAAAGUUCUUGACACAUAAGCAGGAGACCCAAGUUUAGAUCUUCAGCAUCUGCAAAAGAUGUGGGUAUCACAAUGGCCACCCUCAACGCUAGCACUGAGGGGGAGGAGAGAAGGGCGGGGCAGGGCCCCAAAGCCUAAGGGGUAGCUUUAGCCAAUCAGGGAGCUUCAAGCUCAUUGAUCGACCUCAAGAGCUGAUGUUGACUUAUAGCCUGUACAUGCUCACACAUAUCUGCACAUACGCCUGCCGUGCACACAUACACACAGAGACAUGGACAGGAAGGAGGCCGUCUUACUGAGAAGAACUUACUUAUGAAAGCAUUUCAGAUGCACAAACCACAACCAUGUGGCAGAGGCUGACCCACUGCUCUGUGUGUUCUAGUGGGGGAUGUGCAGAAUGAAAUCUCCCCUGCAGCCGUGGGUGGAACACACCUAUUGUGUCAGGUCUUCAUGCCGCCACCUGAGCUGUUCUUGGCAGCUGUUUUAUGCAUUCAUGACUGUGGACAGAGUGACAAAGCCAUUUAUAUGUCAAGAAAAAAAAUCACCCAGUGAUCUUCUGUGUAUUGUCUUCUGAGAGAAUACUUAGUUCUCAACACCUGCCAAACAAGAGCCACUGCCAAAAAAGACAUAGAAAUAAAAGGCUUGAAAGAAAUCAUGGGGAAAAAAAGAUCGGAAUGAAGCAGCUUCCUGAUUGCCAGCACUACGCAUGCGCACUUAGAGCCACUGCGCACUUUUCUUCCACGAAGACAAUGAAGCGACUGAAGAAAGCUGCUGGGAUUCAGAACAGCCGAAGUAAAAAGGACAGAAGGGUUAAUAACAGAUGAUCUCACAGAUCUACCUUACCUACCGUGGAACCUUUAAGCAUUACCCACAACCCAAAGGAGGCUGUCAUAAUGUCGCCACCCCGGAAGUGGUCCCUUCACGCAGCUCUUUGACUAAGGAAUACGUCCCCUGUGUUCCUGCCAACCCGCCAGAGGUGACAAAACCUGCAACCCCCUCCCCUACCUCCCUCCAGUGAGGGAGCAAAUGCAGAGAUCGCUAGUUACCUCCUUAAACUUGCAGUCAACGCCUCUACAACCACAAUUGGAUUCCUGUUGCCUCUACAACCACAAUUGGAUUCCUGUUACUACCUCCCUAGAGUGGUCAGCGGCAGGUGAGCGUCUGUGUGCGCACGCGCAUCAAACUGUAAAGCUGGAGCCAAGCAAGAUGGUGCCCUGUGCCUUCAUUUCGUUUGCCUCUGUCAAUCUGCCCUCACGAAAACAAAAUGACGCUCCAAAGCGAUCACCGAUCACCGCAUAAAAUAAAAAUGGAGAUCACACAGGAGAGGUGGAUUCACAUUAAAGGAGAAACCUCGGAAGAAAACUAAAACCAAAUCCGAAGCCUUUGUGACGUCCAUCAGGGAAAACUCAAAGGCAAGAGUGCUUCUUAAGAAGGUCUGUGCCAUAGCACACUGAAGAGAGAUGAAGGUGGGAGAAAUCACCAGUUCCGUGAUAUCCUGGGCUGAGGACGGAGUCUUUAAAAAACAAACAAACAAACAAACAAACAAACAAAAAACCAAAGUAAAAUAGUAUAAAGCAAACAAAAAGACUCCUCUGUAGAAGGAAUUAAGGAAGACAGUGUUUCUCUUUUCCCCUGGUGGGGAGGCGGGGCGUCACAAAAGAAGGUCAGGAAGAAACAGGUCACUCCAACCAGCUUGUGAGACACUGAGAGAGAUCUCCUCCUAGAACAGGCAGCAAACAUGUUGUUCCAAGCAGAGAACAGAGAGGGAAGAGGUGGUCAGGGAGAUGGAAGGUCAGAAUAGAAUUCUUCACACUCAGGGACACUUGAGGUCAUGGGGACCUGAACUUUAGCUGUUUAAAAAGCCUUGACGGCUGGACAGUAAUCCAGCCCCCCAUUUCGAAGGUCUCCACGAGAGAACUUUUAGCCUAGGAUGGGAGGAAAUGUUUAUUUUGCCAACAGUAAAUUCUUAUGGUAAUUCAAUGACGUAAGGGAAAUCGUCCAUACUUUUUUCCCCCUUAAAGAAGAUAAACAGAAGGAAAUCCGAUCUGCCCGCCCCUAACUGCCAGGAUAGAGGUGGAUGGCGAAGACCAUGAGGCCGAGGGGGUUGGAGACCGCUCUGUCUUCUUUGCCACCUGCCCACAAGUCCUGUUUAUCUUCUCUAUAAAUACUCCAGUCAGGUUAUAUUUUUGAUACCUGCCACUUGACACUCAUCUGGUGACAAGACUGUUAGACCAAUAUAUUCAGCCAGGGAUAUGCAUUCUGAAGAAGGUUCCAGAAUGAUGGCGACCUUGUCCUACAUGUUGCAGUUAAGCACAGCCUCUCACCUACUACUGCUGGUCCGUCUCUGCCGGUCCGUCUCUGCUGGUCCGCUUGCAUUAUUUCCUGUGGCAAAGUCAAUAUGGGAAUUAAUAAUAGCUUUCUGAUCUACAAAUAAAAGCACGCCACUUUAAA
This is a non-coding RNA of Rattus norvegicus (Norway rat), 3100 nucleotides long. The record is from RefSeq and is a predicted model, not a curated record. Lineage: Eukaryota; Metazoa; Chordata; Mammalia; Rodentia; Muridae.